ACACCUUCCGGGAACUGUGAGUAGUGUUCGAGCGGCAGGCGGCGCGGCCCGGCCUGCCGGCGCCGCUCAAGAACGCUAUCCACAGCGGCGUGCAGCUGGUGUGCCGUCUGGCGCCGCCCAUGGAGGAACAGGCGCAAUAACGCAGACGGCGCUAGUAGGACAUAAGGACAUCUGCGACACCGUCGCACGCUCACACUUUACCUCCGUGUCCAGAACUCAACUACAACCUUAUUUCAGACAAACGGCUGUCUCUUUCUACAAACAGCUAGGAUAUAAGCAAGACUGGGACGGCUCUAUAUGGGCGUAUUAUUCACCGAAUGUCACCAGAAAAAGGCAGAGAAAUUCUAAAAAUCUUAUGUAUUUUUCUAGUGAUACUUAUAGUCCGACAAGUGUAGUAAUUAAAAAGUGGCACUUUUUAUUUAAUUUCUACACUUGUCGGAAUGUAGUGUGGAUUGCAAAAUGUCGCAAAAUUGUUUUAAAAUGACUGUCCUAUCAUCAUGUUAUAUUAUCUGUGUUGUCACGUGACAUAUGUCAAUGUCAAACGAAACGUUUGUAUGAACACGUAUUGUGAGCUUCACUUUGACAUAUUUAUUUAAAACUCUUGGUUUAUAUUGAAUCAAACUGUUGUAUCGAUAGUAUUUUAAUGGGACAAACUAAGGUAUUAUUUUAAGUUUAAUCUUACUUAAGUAUGAGUCAACGAUUUUGGUCAGAGUUAUUUUAAGCUGUUAUUUAGCACUUUGUUCUUGUGUUGUUUUGUUUAUCUAUUGAAAUGGUAAACAAAAGCAGUAUAAUAUAUAUCUGUCAAGUGAAACCAGACUGUAGGUUAGCCUAGAGAAAUAUCAAAACGAUGAAAUUUUCAUAUUGGGACCUCCUUACCCUGUCAAAAAUAAAAAAAUUUACUAUUAAAAAUCGGGUAAUUUUCUCUGUUUGUCGAACAAAUUCCUUAUGCAUUUCUUUUAUUAGUUCCCUUUUGAAACUGAUCAUUCCAUUUGUAUAAACUUCGAUGUUUUGUUUCGUUAGAUGUUUUUUACUUUCAACUGCUAUAUUUAUUUAAACAAUAUGGUAUGCACUUGGUUUGGGGUGAAUGUAGUCAGGAUUUUUAAAUAUAUGUUAAUAUAAGA
This is a long non-coding RNA of Cydia fagiglandana, 1121 nucleotides long. RefSeq lists it as uncharacterized. The record is from RefSeq and is a predicted model, not a curated record. The transcript is spliced from 2 exons. NCBI's taxonomy places the organism in Eukaryota, Metazoa, Arthropoda, Insecta, Lepidoptera, Tortricidae.